RNAcentral lists this ribosomal RNA (384 nucleotides) under uncultured organism. RNAcentral's name for it is "bacterial SSU rRNA". It matches the Rfam family "Bacterial small subunit ribosomal RNA", at positions 45 to 433 of the family's 1533-position model. The record is from RNAcentral.
UGCUUCACACAUGCAAGUCGAGCGGCAGCGCGGGGCAACCUGGCGGCGAGCGGCGAACGGGUGAGUAAUGCAUCGGAACGUACCCAGUCGUGGGGGAUAACGCACCGAAAGGUGUGCUAAUACCGCAUACGUCCUGAGGGAGAAAGCGGGGGAUCGCAAGACCUCGCGCGAUUGGAGCGGCCGAUGUCUGAUUAGCUAGUUGGUGGGGUAAAGGCCUACCAAGGCGACGAUCAGUAGCUGGUCUGAGAGGACGACCAGCCACACUGGGGCUGAGACACGGCCCAGACUCCUACGGGAGGCAGCAGUGGGGAAUUUUGGACAAUGGGGGAAACCCUGAUCCUGCCAUUCCGCGUGAGUGAAGAAGGCCUUCGGGUUGUAAAGCUC